GAUGAACGCUGGCGGCGUGCCUAAUACAUGCAAGUCGAGCGAAAAGACGAGGAGCUUGCUCCUCUGACGGUAGCGGCGGACGGGUGAGUAACACGUGGAUAACCUACCUAUAAGACUGGGAUAACUUCGGGAAACCGGAGCUAAUACCGGAUAAUAUAUUGAACCGCAUGGUUCAAUAGUGAAAGACGGUUUUGCUGUCACUUAUAGAUGGAUCCGCGCCGCAUUAGCUUGUUGGUAAGGUAACGGCUUACCAAGGCAACGAUGCGUAGCCGACCUGAGCGGGUGAUCGGCCACACUUGAACUGAGACACGGUCCAGACUCCUACGGGAGGCAGCAGUAGGGAAUCUUCCGCAAUGGGCGAAAGCUUGACGGAGCAACUCCGCGUGAGUGAUGAAGGUCUUCGGAUCGUAAAACUCUGUUAUUAGGGAAGAACAAAUGUGUAAGUAACUAUGCACGUCUUGACGGUACCUAAUCAGAAAGCCACGGCUAACUACGUG
RNAcentral lists this ribosomal RNA (497 nucleotides) under uncultured bacterium. RNAcentral's name for it is "partial 16S ribosomal RNA". It matches the Rfam family "Bacterial small subunit ribosomal RNA", at positions 28 to 507 of the family's 1533-position model. The record is from RNAcentral.